Molecule: ribosomal RNA, 603 nt
Filed under: Gammarus lacustris
Lineage: Eukaryota; Metazoa; Arthropoda; Malacostraca; Amphipoda; Gammaridae
Description: partial 16S ribosomal RNA
Rfam family: Bacterial large subunit ribosomal RNA (bases 315-603)
Source: RNAcentral
AAAGAGUAAGAAACUUUAGUGUGUGUACCUUUUGUAUCAGGGGAAGUUAAAAGUGCAAGUAAUAAAGGAUCGAUUUAAGCAGAGCUUCGUAUAAAAUAGCUAUAGUUAAAUUUAUAGCUUUAAUAGAUUAUGUGGUGAAAAAUGUACGGUGCUUAUGGUAGCUAUUUGUUUUUUUAUUGAAGGGUAAGCUUUCAUUGACUUAAUUGUGGUAUUUUGACUGUGCUAAGGUAGCAUAAUCAUUUGCUACUUAAUUGGUAGCUGGAAUGAAAGGUUAAACUAGCUUAUUCAGUUUGUUGUGUUUUGUAAGAAAUUAAAGUCGAGGUAAGAAUUCUUUGAUCUGCUAGGGGACGAUAAGACCCUAGAAGCUUAACAAUAAGAGUAUUUAUUAGUUAUAAAAAUUAAUUUGUUUUACUGGGGCGGUAGAGGUAUAUGAACUAUUAGCGUAUUGAUAGAUCCUUAAAAUAAAGAUAAAACGGGAAAGUUACUCUAGGGGUAACAGUGCAAUAUUUUUGGAGAGAUCAUAUCGAUAAAAAUGUUUGCAACCUCGAUGUUGAAUUAAGAUGUCUACGUGAAGCAGCAGGUACGUGAGAGGGUUUGUUCAAC